This 753-nucleotide ribosomal RNA is filed under the name uncultured Pseudomonas sp. RNAcentral describes it as "bacterial SSU rRNA". It matches the Rfam family "Bacterial small subunit ribosomal RNA", at positions 28 to 776 of the family's 1533-position model. The record is from RNAcentral. Lineage: Bacteria; Pseudomonadati; Pseudomonadota; Gammaproteobacteria; Pseudomonadales; Pseudomonadaceae.
AUUGANGCUGNCGGCAGGCCUAACACAUGCAAGUCGAGCGGAUGAAGGGGAGCUGCUCCUGGAUUCAGCGGCGGACGGGNGAGUAAUGCCUAGGAAUCUGCCUGGUAGUGGGGGAUAACGUCCGGAAACGGGCGCUANUACCGCAUACGUCCUGAGGGAGAAAGUGGGNGGAUCUUCGGACCUCACGCUAUCAGAUGAGCCUAGGUCGGAUUANCUAGUUGGUGGGGUAAAGGCCUACCAAGGCGACGAUCCGUAACUGGUCUGAGAGGAUGAUCAGUCACACUGGAACUGAGACACGGUCCAGACUCCUACGGGAGGCAGCAGUGGGGAAUAUUGGACAAUGGGCGAAAGCCUGAUCCAGCCAUGCCGCGUGUGUGAAGAAGGUCUUCGGAUUGUAAAGCACUUUAAGUUGGGAGGAAGGGCAGUAAGUUAAUACCUUGCUGUUUUGACGUUACCAACAGAAUAAGCACCGGCUAACUUCGUGCCAGCAGCCGCGGUAAUACGAAGGGUGCAAGCGUUAAUCGGAAUUACUGGGCGUAAAGCGCGCGUAGGUGGUUCAGCAAGUUGGAUGUGAAAUCCCCGGGCUCAACCUGGGAACUGCAUCCAAAACUACUGAGCUAGAGUACGGUAGAGGGUGGUGGAAUUUCCUGUGUAGCGGUGAAAUGCGUAGAUAUAGGAAGGAACACCAGUGGCGAAGGCGACCACCUGGACUGAUACUGACACUGAGGUGCGAAAGCGUGGGGAGCAAACAGG